GCUUGCAUCACCACGCAUAGACUAAAAUUGGAAUGAUUCAGAGAAGACUAGCAUGCCCCCUGCACAAGGAUGACACAUACAUUUGUGAAGUAUUCCAUAAUUUG
Molecule: small nuclear RNA, 104 nt
Filed under: Tupaia belangeri (northern tree shrew)
Lineage: Eukaryota; Metazoa; Chordata; Mammalia; Scandentia; Tupaiidae
Source: RNAcentral